Molecule: ribosomal RNA, 406 nt
Filed under: uncultured bacterium
Lineage: Bacteria
Description: partial 16S ribosomal RNA
Rfam family: Bacterial small subunit ribosomal RNA
Source: RNAcentral
GAUGAACGCUAGCUACAGGCUUAACACAUGCAAGUCGAGGGACCGGCGCACGGGUGAGUAACACGUAUCCAACCUGCCCUUUACUCGGGGAUAGCCUUUCGAAAGAAAGAUUACUACCCGAAAUAAAGGAUGGGGAUGCGUUCGAUUAGGUUGUUGGUGAGGUAACGGCUAACCAAGCCUUCGAUGGGUAGGGGUUGUGAGAGGAAGGUCCCCCAGGUUGGAACUGAGACACGGACCAAACUGCUACGGGAGGCAGGAGAUAGGUAUAUUAGUCAAUGGGCGCUAGCCUGAACCAGCCAAGUAGCGUGAAGGAUUAAGGCUUAUGGAUCGUAAACUUCUUUUAAAUAAGAAUCGGUAUUAUAUGAAUAAGGAUCGGCUAACUCCGUGCCAGCAGCCGCGGUAAUAC